Molecule: transfer RNA, 75 nt
Filed under: Rhodocyclus tenuis
Lineage: Bacteria; Pseudomonadati; Pseudomonadota; Betaproteobacteria; Rhodocyclales; Rhodocyclaceae
Description: tRNA-Arg
Rfam family: tRNA
About the family: Transfer RNA (tRNA) molecules are approximately 80 nucleotides in length. Their secondary structure includes four short double-helical elements and three loops (D, anti-codon, and T loops).
Source: RNAcentral
CUCUCCGUAGUUCAAUGGAUAGAACAGUCGCCUCCUAAGCGACAAAUACAGGUUCGAUUCCUGUCGGGGGGACCA